Molecule: non-coding RNA, 117 nt
Filed under: Nomascus leucogenys (northern white-cheeked gibbon)
Lineage: Eukaryota; Metazoa; Chordata; Mammalia; Primates; Hylobatidae
Source: Rfam by way of RNAcentral
GCCGGGCGUGGUGGCUCACACCUGUAAUCCCAGCACUUUGGGAGGCCGAGAUGGGUGGAUCACCUGAGGUCAGGAGUUCAAGACCAGCCUGGCCAACAUGGUGAAACCCCGUCUCUA